Molecule: non-coding RNA, 82 nt
Filed under: Flavobacteriales bacterium
Lineage: Bacteria; Pseudomonadati; Bacteroidota; Flavobacteriia; Flavobacteriales
Also listed under: 1 other name
Source: RNAcentral
GGGGGUGAUUGGUUUAGAUUAUUGCUCAACGCCCUAUAUGGGACGCAAUAAGACGGGGGUUCGAAUCCCUCCACCUCCACCA